This 75-nucleotide transfer RNA is filed under the name Sphaerodactylus townsendi. RNAcentral's name for it is "tRNA-Val". It matches the Rfam family "tRNA". Rfam says of the family: Transfer RNA (tRNA) molecules are approximately 80 nucleotides in length. Their secondary structure includes four short double-helical elements and three loops (D, anti-codon, and T loops). The record is from RNAcentral. Lineage: Eukaryota; Metazoa; Chordata; Lepidosauria; Squamata; Sphaerodactylidae.
GGAGAGUCUGUGGCUCAGUGGUAGAGCAUCAGCUUGACGUGUAGAAAGUCCCAAGUUCAAUCCUCAGCCUCUCCA